UAUUAAAAAAUAUUUUUAAAAAAUACUCAAAUAGAUAAAAAUCAGAAAUGAGACAGAAGGCAUUACAACUGAUAACACAGAAAUAGUAAGGAUCAUAAGAAACUACUAUGAACAAUUACAUGCCAACAACUAGAUAACCUAGAAAAUGAAUAAAUCCCUAAAUGCAUAUAACCUAUCAAA
Long non-coding RNA from Aethalodelphis obliquidens (Pacific white-sided dolphin), 180 nucleotides. RefSeq lists it as uncharacterized. NCBI's taxonomy places the organism in Eukaryota, Metazoa, Chordata, Mammalia, Artiodactyla, Delphinidae. The record is from RefSeq and is a predicted model, not a curated record. The transcript has 3 exons.